This 146-nucleotide ribosomal RNA is filed under the name Frullania asagrayana. Its description in RNAcentral is "partial 5.8S ribosomal RNA". It matches the Rfam family "5.8S ribosomal RNA". From Rfam's summary of the family: 5.8S ribosomal RNA (5.8S rRNA) is a component of the large subunit of the eukaryotic ribosome. It is transcribed by RNA polymerase I as part of the 45S precursor that also contains 18S and 28S rRNA. The record is from RNAcentral. Lineage: Eukaryota; Viridiplantae; Streptophyta; Jungermanniopsida; Porellales; Frullaniaceae.
CAACGGAUAUCUUGGCUCUUGCAACGAUGAAGAACGCAGCGAAAUGCGAUACCUAGUGUGAAUUGCAGAAUUCCGCGAAUCAUCGAGUUUUUGAACGCAAGUUGCGCCCGAGGCUUUUGCCGAGGGCAUGUCUGUCUGAGCGUCCA